Small nucleolar RNA from Cannabis sativa, 107 nucleotides. The record is from RefSeq and is a predicted model, not a curated record. Lineage: Eukaryota; Viridiplantae; Streptophyta; Magnoliopsida; Rosales; Cannabaceae.
AUGCCAUGGUGAGGACAUUUUUGCAAUAAUUCCUUGAACCUAUCCCAUGCCUCAUACAAAGACUCAUCUUCAGAUUGUUGUAAGGAAGUUAUUUCCUUCUAGAGCUU